GAUGAACGCUGGCGGCGUGCCUAAUACAUGCAAGUCGAGCGAACAGACGAGGAGCUUGCUCCUCUGACGUUAGCGGCGGACGGGUGAGUAACACGUGGAUAACCUACCUAUAAGACUGGGAUAACUUCGGGAAACCGGAGCUAAUACCGGAUAAUAUAUUGAACCGCAUGGUUCAAUAGUGAAAGACGGUUUUGCUGUCACUUAUAGAUGGAUCCGCGCCGCAUUAGCUAGUUGGUAAGGUAACGGCUUACCAAGGCAACGAUGCGUAGCCGACCUGAGAGGGUGAUCGGCCACACUGAAACUGAGACACGUUCCAGACUCCUACGGGAGGCAGCGGUAGGGAACCUUCCGCAAUGGGCGAAAGCCUGACGGAGCACCGCCGCGUGAGUGAUGAAGGUCUUCGGUUCGUAAACCUCUGUUAUUAGGGAAGAACAAAUGUGUAAGUAACUAUGCCCGUCUUGACGGUACCUAAUCAGAAAGCCACGGCUAACUACGU
RNAcentral lists this ribosomal RNA (496 nucleotides) under uncultured bacterium. Its description in RNAcentral is "partial 16S ribosomal RNA". It matches the Rfam family "Bacterial small subunit ribosomal RNA", at positions 28 to 506 of the family's 1533-position model. The record is from RNAcentral.